UACAGAGGUGGCAAGCGUUGUUCGGAUUUAUUGGGCGUAAAGGGUCCGUAGGCGGUUCGGAAAGUCAGAUGUGAAAUCCCACAGCUCAACUGUGGAACUGCAUUUGAAACUUCCGGACUAGAGUGUGAGAGGGGUAAGGGGAAUUCCCGGUGUAAGGGUGAAAUCUGCAGAGAUCGGGAGGAACACCAGUCGCGAAGGCGCCUUACUGGCUCACUACUGACGCUCAGGGACGAAAGCUAGGGGAGCAAACGGG
RNAcentral lists this ribosomal RNA (253 nucleotides) under uncultured bacterium. RNAcentral's name for it is "partial 16S ribosomal RNA". It matches the Rfam family "Bacterial small subunit ribosomal RNA", at positions 524 to 776 of the family's 1533-position model. The record is from RNAcentral.